This 801-nucleotide ribosomal RNA is filed under the name uncultured bacterium. RNAcentral's name for it is "bacterial SSU rRNA". It matches the Rfam family "Bacterial small subunit ribosomal RNA", at positions 79 to 878 of the family's 1533-position model. The record is from RNAcentral.
GCUGCUUUGCUGACGAGUGGCGGACGGGUGAGUAAUGUCUGGGAAACUGCCUGAUGGAGGGGGAUAACUACUGGAAACGGUAGCUAAUACCGCAUAACGUCGCAAGACCAAAGAGGGGGACCUUCGGGCCUCUUGCCAUCGGAUGUGCCCAGAUGGGAUUAGCUAGUAGGUGGGGUAACGGCUCACCUAGGCGACGAUCCCUAGCUGGUCUGAGAGGAUGACCAGCCACACUGGAACUGAGACACGGUCCAGACUCCUACGGGAGGCAGCAGUGGGGAAUAUUGCACAAUGGGCGCAAGCCUGAUGCAGCCAUGCCGCGUGUAUGAAGAAGGCCUUCGGGUUGUAAAGUACUUUCAGCGGGGAGGAAGGGAGUAAAGUUAAUACCUUUGCUCAUUGACGUUACCCGCAGAAGAAGCACCGGCUAACUCCGUGCCAGCAGCCGCGGUAAUACGGAGGGUGCAAGCGUUAAUCGGAAUUACUGGGCGUAAAGCGCACGCAGGCGGUUUGUUAAGUCAGAUGUGAAAUCCCCGGGCUCAACCUGGGAACUGCAUCUGAUACUGGCAAGCUUGAGUCUCGUAGAGGGGGGUAGAAUUCCAGGUGUAGCGGUGAAAUGCGUAGAGAUCUGGAGGAAUACCGGUGGCGAAGGCGGCCCCCUGGACGAAGACUGACGCUCAGGUGCGAAAGCGUGGGGAGCAACAGGAUUAGAUACCCUGGUAGUCCACGCCGUAAACGAUGUCGACUUGGAGGUGUGCCCUUGAGGCGUGGCUUCCGGAGCUAACGCGUUAAGUCGACCGCCUGCGG